UCCCGGUUAACCCGGGCAGUCUCACUAGAGUUCCCACCAUUACGUGUUGGCAACUAGUGAUAAGGGUUGCGCUCGUUGCGGGACUUAACCCAACACCUCACGGCACGAGCUGACGACAGCCAUGCAGCACCUGUUCAGCAGCCCCGAAGGGAAAUACUAUUUCUAGUAUCGUCUACUGUAUGUCAAGCCUGGGUAAGGUUCUUCGCGUUGCAUCGAAUUAAACCACAUGCUCCACUGCUUGUGCGGGUCCCCGUCAAUUCUUUUGAGUUUCACCCUUGCGAGUGUACUCCCCAGGCGGUAUACUUAUCGCGUUAGCUACGGCACAGUCGGGGUUGAGUCCAACUACACCAAGUAUACAUCGUUUACGGCAAGGACUAC
RNAcentral lists this unclassified non-coding RNA (378 nucleotides) under uncultured Parachlamydiaceae bacterium. Its description in RNAcentral is "contains 16S-23S intergenic spacer region". Lineage: Bacteria; Pseudomonadati; Chlamydiota; Chlamydiia; Parachlamydiales; Parachlamydiaceae. The record is from RNAcentral.